CCAACCUUUUCCUUUUUCUUCCUCACUCCUCUCCAAUUUUUACCACUUUUACUAUAAAUAUAAAUAACAUUGUUUUGUUUGAGUCAAUUAACUGGUAAAGUCUACAUGAAAUGUUGGUUUUUUCUUUAUUUGUUAUGUAGGUUAUAGGAAGAAGGAAGGAUAUAUAUAUAUGGGUGGGAUGCAACAGAAAUGUAAUCCUGUUGAAUGUGGUUUGUCUUUACUUUUCUUCUUUUUUGCACAUGUCCACCAAAGGUGAAUUAAGGUGGAGGUGCAUGCAUGUUAAGAGAAUUACAAAACAUACACCUAAUAAUUAAUAAUGUUCAAUCAGAUGAUGGGAUUGACAGCAAUCUCGGAUGAAUUGUUGAGCGUGAGAGAGAAAGAAGAGCAGCAUAGGAUUCGUAGGACAAUGUUUGAUAACAAUCCACAGGGAGAUUGAUUUCAUCAUCACAAACAAACAACAACAUAUGUAUCAAAACAUCCAAGUGUCCUCCCACAAAUUAACUACUCCAGGGGGGCACAACACAUCUGUCAACUUUCUUUCUUAUACUCUUAUAUUAUUAUUGCCAUUCUUCUCUUUUUUAUCACCUCUAAUCACUCCUAUUACCAUUCUCAUUUCAGAUCAUUCUCCAGUCAAAGUGCUGCUGCAUAUAUAUGUUUUUGUUGUUCAACCCUCAUGCAAAUAAUUGUAUGCUAGUAACAUGAAUAGUCAUUUUCACAUGACAUCAAUUUAGAUAUUUAACUUUGUUGGCACUUUUC
Molecule: long non-coding RNA, 756 nt
Filed under: Vigna radiata
Lineage: Eukaryota; Viridiplantae; Streptophyta; Magnoliopsida; Fabales; Fabaceae
Description: long non-coding RNA (VRAD_LNC002569)
Source: RNAcentral